CCUACGGGUGGCAGCAGUAGGGAAUCUUUCACAAUGGGCGAAAGCCUGAUGGAGCACCGCCGCGUGCAGGAUGAAGGCCUUCGGGUUGUAAACUUCUUUUAUAAGCGAGAAAUAUGAUGGUAACUUAUGAAUAAGGAUCGGCUAACUACGUGCCAGCAGCCGCGGUCAUACGUAGGAUCCGAGCAUUAUCCGGAGUGACUGGGUGUAAAGAGUUGCGUAGGUGGCAUAAUAAGUAGCUAGUGAAAUCUGGUGGCUCAACCAUUCAGACUAUUAGCUAAACUGUUAAGCUCGAGACCGUUAGGGGUAACUGGAAUUUCUAGUGUAGGAGUGAAAUCCGUAGAUAUUAGAAGGAACACCAAUAGCGUAGGCAGGUUGCUGGGACGGUUCUGACACUAAGGCACGAAAGCGUAGGGAGCAAACGGGAUUAGAUACCCCUGUAGUC
RNAcentral lists this ribosomal RNA (442 nucleotides) under uncultured bacterium. Its description in RNAcentral is "partial 16S ribosomal RNA". It matches the Rfam family "Bacterial small subunit ribosomal RNA", at positions 338 to 795 of the family's 1533-position model. The record is from RNAcentral.